Molecule: ribosomal RNA, 310 nt
Filed under: uncultured bacterium
Lineage: Bacteria
Description: bacterial SSU rRNA
Rfam family: Bacterial small subunit ribosomal RNA
Source: RNAcentral
GAUGAACGCUAGCUACAGGCUUAACACAUGCAAGUCGAGGGGCAGCGGGGGUAGCAAUACCCGCCGGCGACCGGCGCACGGGUGAGUAACGCGUAUGCAACUUACCUAUCAGAGGGGGAUAACCCGGCGAAAGUCGGACUAAUACCGCAUGAAGCAGGGGCCCCGCAUGGGGAUAUUUGCUAAAGAUUCAUCGCUGAUAGAUAGGCAUGCGUUCCAUUAGGCAGUUGGCGGGGUAACGGCCCACCAAACCGACGAUGGAUAGGGGUUCUGAGAGGAAGGUCCCCCACAUUGGAACUGAGACACGGUCCAA